AUAAUACUUCAACAAAACUGACAUUAUAAAUAUAUCUGUUACUUUAUUUCAUAUUUUCUGAUUUUUGUAAUUUUAAAUAAAAAUGAAGAUUUAAAAAUAAACGAGGACAAAUCUUACAAAAUUGUUGAUGGUUUUAUAAACUGUGGCUACCUAUAUCUCCUAAAUCAAUCUCAUAUCUGGGGCAAUAAAACCACUGUUGAUGAUGAAGAAAUUUGGAGCAUGCGUUCUCUUUGGCAAUUUGAGCAUGUCGUUAUUGCAAAAUUGGUGCUCAUUAAAAAUAUAAAGUAUUUGGUAUUUCCAAAAACGUAUUUAAUUAAAAAAUGCCCACCAGAGAUAGUGAAAAUCUUAAAGAAACAAAAAGAUAUUAUCUAUAAAACAGUAUUAUGCAGUAGCAAAAAGUUAUAAAAUAACGUUAUGUCAUAGUCAACCCAGUUCACCGCAAAUUUUACAUAACUGUAUAAAGCAAUAUGUUCAUGCAUGGUUUCAGUUUUACUCUUAAAUUUAUUUAUUAAACCAAGAAGAAUUCAAGUGGAAGUUACUGUGAUCAUUUAAGUGUUAGUAUUUUUUACGUUUUAACCCAUUGAAAUACAAAACUACUCAUUGAAGUCUGUCGAUAGCAGCAAUUUUCGACAUGUUUACGAAUUUAUGUUAAUACCCUUUAUUAUGCCCUCUUAUUAUGCAAAUAAGAGUUUGGACAGUUCGCAGUCCAAGCAAAAUUUUAUUUAAAUAAGAUAUUUGCUGUAUAACAUUAAUAAAUUAUCAAUUGUAAGAUAUUGUUAUAAAAACUGUUAACAGAUAAAUAAAAAUGCAUACAUAUGUACGAUAUUUGAUUACGUGGUAUACAAAACUAGAUUCCCAGCAUAUACAUAUGUACAUACAUAUAUACAUGCAAACACAUAUGUAUACAUGUUUUUUUGCAAUAUGACGUUUUGUAAACGACAGCGAAAUCAAAAUCUGUAUAAAAGAACAUUGUACUGUAUAAAUUCAUAA
This is a non-coding RNA of Bactrocera oleae (olive fruit fly), 990 nucleotides long. The record is from RefSeq and is a predicted model, not a curated record. Lineage: Eukaryota; Metazoa; Arthropoda; Insecta; Diptera; Tephritidae.